This is a long non-coding RNA of Sander lucioperca (pikeperch), 125 nucleotides long. RefSeq lists it as uncharacterized. The transcript has 3 exons. NCBI's taxonomy places the organism in Eukaryota, Metazoa, Chordata, Actinopteri, Perciformes, Percidae. The record is from RefSeq and is a predicted model, not a curated record.
AAUUAUACAAAUAGUAUAAUACUAAUACUAUUAGUGUAGCCUAAUCUUUAUCUGCAACUGUGCAGAAAUGCCAGGUUUAAAAAGAAUGAAUAGACAUGCAAAAUUCACACAAAAAAGCUGUGCAG